RNAcentral lists this ribosomal RNA (392 nucleotides) under uncultured bacterium. RNAcentral describes it as "partial 16S ribosomal RNA". It matches the Rfam family "Bacterial small subunit ribosomal RNA", at positions 523 to 918 of the family's 1533-position model. The record is from RNAcentral.
AUACGUAGGGGGCAAGCGUUGUUCGGAAUCAUUGGGCGUAAAGGGCGCGCAGGCGGCGAGGCAAGUCCGGUGUGAAAGUGCUCGGCUCAACCGAGUGAUGCGCUGGAAACUGCCCUGCUUGAGUACAGGAGGGGACGUCGGAAUUCCAGGUGUAGGGGUGAAAUCUGUAGAUAUCUGGAAGAACACCGGUGGCGAAGGCGGACGUCUGGCCAUGUACUGACGCUGAGGCGCGAAGGUGCGGGGAGCGAACAGGUUUAGAUACCCUGGUAGCCCGCACAGUAAACGAUGUGCACCAGGUGGCGGGGGGUAGCCCUCGGUACCGAAGCCAACGCAUUAAGUGCACCGCCUGGGGAGUAUGCUCGCAAGGGUGAAACUCAAAUGAAUUGACGGGG